This 3279-nucleotide long non-coding RNA is filed under the name Ictidomys tridecemlineatus (thirteen-lined ground squirrel). Its description in RNAcentral is "lncRNA (ENSSTOG00000033586.1)". Lineage: Eukaryota; Metazoa; Chordata; Mammalia; Rodentia; Sciuridae. The record is from RNAcentral.
GGCAGGAAGGUUAGGCCACUGGCAAAGUCCUCAGCGAGAGCCAGCUGAUCACAAAUGCCAACUGUGUGUCUUGGGGCCAGUUAAGUCCUCUCGUCUGCCCAAGCUCUCAGGACACCAUUUCAUUGCUCUCAGGGUUCCCAGGAGACUGCUGCGGACACGGACCAUCCCCCACUUGGCCCGCAUGGAUGGGGUGCUGAGCAGCGUCUUCAAAGUGCUCUUUCUCACCUCAAGUUUCCAUUUUAAAUAGUAAAAUGCUGGAGCUAGGAGAUAGGCAGAUAUUUUUCUCUCAUAUCAAAAAAGGAAGACCGUAAGCUAGGUGAUUAGCUGUAAGUGGGAAGCGAACUAUCAUCUCCAGUAGGAAUACUCACUUUUUGAGGAAGUGUGUGGAAGUUCUGCAGUCCCACCUUGCCCUAUGACCUUUAAUUCUCUUAGUUCUUCUGCCACAGGGAAGCACCGAACGACUAAUAAAAGAUUUGAUCUUGCCAUAAUUUCCCAAGCAGGGAUCAACAAAUUGAUAAAGCAAACUCAGAGGCCACAUCUUAUUAGACAGCAAGCUGCCUUCUUCUUUAUUAUGGGAAAUACCCAGGAGAAGAUUCCUCUCCCCAUACACACCUGUGAUUUUCAAGUCCUUUUAUUCAUGCCUUUAAAUGAAAGGGUUGAGUAUACAAGACUCAGAUUCAUACCUUCCACAAAGCUGGAGGAAAAUGAAGAGCAAGAUGGCCGCAUCCCAGUCUGUGGAACCCAUUUCCCCAAAGCCUAAGCUUCCUUGGAGACCACCUUGUCUCAACUUAGGCAAUUUCAGGAAUGUAACAGAGAUCUAAGAAGAGGGUGUCACAACAGCAGCUUACCUGUGAUGAAAGGACAGAUGCAUUCCUUUCUUUCAUUUUCCUUCACUCUAGCCAGUGGCAGCCACUGCCUCAGGUUUUAUUUACCUUUCCUCAGGCCUGAUGAGGACAUUAUGUUCUUAAGAGAUCCCUUAAGGUUGUUUCAAAGGAACAAAAGAGUAGCGAGCAAAAGAAAAAAUCAUUAUAAUGAAAAAAAUGUUUUCCUUUAUCUCCUAUUUUUUUUUUUUUGGUAUGUUUUUGAGAGAUGUGAAGGAAAGAAAAGUACACCAUUUUCCCCCUAGAAUAAGAUUUUGGAUCAUUGCUGCAUUUGAUUACAUAUUUCUGCAAACUCUGUGUUCUUGAAGAAAACUAUAUUUUCUCAUGUUUUUUUUUUAAUGGAUGCCUGUGCCAAAAUUUGGCUCUCAUUUCACAGCAGAAAGGAGAGACUGCAUAGAUCCCAAAACUAUGAGCUGUAUGCGUUCCUCCUGCAAACUAUCCCCUAAUCAGGCAUCAAAAGUGUCUCAUUUUUGAGGUUAUAUUAAAUCUUUUUGUAUUUCCCUUUCUGUCCUAGAUGUUACAUGUCAGGAUGCAGCCAGAAUAGGUGUAACAUACCAUAGAGACUGUUGUUUGGUGCAGAGGGAGACACAGAGUUUGAUCAACACCUGCUUGCUGAGGUGGGCUGGAGCCCAGGAGAGCUGCUGCAGGGAUAGGAACAGAGUCUGGCAGGAAAUGUGUAAUAUUUAGGGGACAUUGAUUCAGAGAUCCCUAGAGUGCUACAAGAAAGAGUUUGAAAUUGAGAAGGAAUCAAGUAGAUGCACAUUCUGACUCUAACAUUAAUUUUCAUUGGAGUUCUUUAAGAUUUCAUUUGAAAAAAAUAGAAUUCUGUUGCAAGAAGAAAGAAGAAAAGGAAAGAGAAUAAUUAGAUGAUGAUGAUGAUGAUGAUGAUGAUGAUUUUGGGACUGGGGAGUAAUCCAGGGGUGCUUAACCACUGAGCCCCAUCCACAGCCCUUUUUUGUAUUUUAUUUAGCGACAAGGUCUCACUAAAUUACUUAGGGCCUCCCUAAGUUGCUGAGGCUUGCUUUUAAAUCAUGAUUCUUCUGUCUUAGCCUCCAGAGCUGCCGGUAUUACAGAUGUGCGGCACCAUUUUAAUAAUUAUUGAGACAGUUUAAAAUAGGAUAGUCUGGUUCACAAUAUGUCAUCCAUAUUAUCUGUGCUUGGCACAUAGUGGGCAUUUGGUGCAUAAUUCAGCAAUUUCAUUUAAAAAUUGUCUGAAUAAAUAAAUGAAAUAAAUAAAUGAAAGUAUCACAGAUCAGUUGUUAACAGGUGAGCUGAGACUAUGUAAUGGGAUAUAGCAACAGAUAAACAGAGAACAGUAUUGAUUAAUUCAAAAGGUAAAAAGGCAGACAGGUAGUGCCUAAGUCUGCUGACUGGAAGUAAGGUCCUAGACAUUGGGGCACAUUCUGGGGCCUGGGAGAGGGCCUGGGUAGAGGAGGGCAGGCUGAAUUAUGACAGCAGACAAAGCAGGGAUUGACCUAGCACUUGCAGCAAAAUAGGAAUGCAGUUUUCAAAGGUGACACUAGGCUAGGGGCAGACUUUCAGAAGGGAGACUCAAGUACUUAAGUUGGUCCCACCUAAUCUGAUAGGCUCUGGGAGCUGGGGUGAAUUGGCAAACAAUCUCAGUCAUGAUUAGAACUUGGGGACAGAAGCUAAAAUCCAGCCUGGGUUUUCACUUAAUCUCUUUUCCCAUGUUACCAGCAAUAAACUCAGUUUCCUAAGUUUAUUCGGCAAUUUCUUUUAUCUUUAAAAAGGUUUCAUUGGGGAAAAAUCACAGCUGGGUAAGGGAAAAGGUGACUUUUAGAGGCAAGAGAAAGAAUUGAGGGAGCUCUAUAAGCCAUUUCACAUCUCACAUCGAAGAGUUUGAAAGCCACUGAUACAAUACCUACCAGGUAACUUCUUCACAUUCACAGUUAUCACGAGUGAAUGAAGUAAAUUAACUUUCUGGACAAAAAGUCUGAUCACACAAAACAAAAUGUUCUUUAUCAGAGUGCCAUGAAAUAUGGAGCAUUCUCUACAAUGCAAUAAUACAGUAUUUACCAAGAAGAUUAAGAUUAUACUUUUAUUUAAUUAAUGUUUACUAUGAGACUGUACAUGCUCAUGAUAAAAUAUUUAAACAGGGUAGAAAUAAAGUAAAUGUGGUCUUCUUCCUUUGUUCAGUAUCAUUCACAAGAAUGUCAAAAAGUGUAUUAUAAAUGGUUUUAAAAAUAUUCUAUAAAUAAGCAAAUGUAUGUGUUUGUAUUUUUCUUACACAAGUGGAAUCAUAACAUAUUGAAGUUUUGCAACCUGUUUUCUGUAAAUAAUAUUUCUUGAACUUCUUUCUAUGAAGGGACAUAUUGAUCUACAGAUCUACUUACUACAUUAAUCUAUAUAAUAUUCCAUCUUCAUGUAAGUUGUAUUG